ACCUGGCUGGCUCAGUGGGGAGAGCGUUUGACUCUUGAUCUCGGGGUUGUGAGUUUGAGCCCCAUGUUAGGUG
RNAcentral lists this transfer RNA (73 nucleotides) under Ursus americanus (American black bear). It matches the Rfam family "tRNA". From Rfam's summary of the family: Transfer RNA (tRNA) molecules are approximately 80 nucleotides in length. Their secondary structure includes four short double-helical elements and three loops (D, anti-codon, and T loops). The record is from Rfam by way of RNAcentral. Lineage: Eukaryota; Metazoa; Chordata; Mammalia; Carnivora; Ursidae. RNAcentral also lists the same sequence under 2 other names.